RNAcentral lists this ribosomal RNA (253 nucleotides) under uncultured bacterium. RNAcentral describes it as "partial 16S ribosomal RNA". It matches the Rfam family "Bacterial small subunit ribosomal RNA", at positions 524 to 776 of the family's 1533-position model. The record is from RNAcentral.
UACGAAGGGGGCUAGCGUUGCUCGGAAUCACUGGGCGUAAAGCGCACGUAGGCGGCUUCUUAAGUCAGGGGUGAAAUCCUGGAGCUCAACUCCAGAACUGCCUUUGAUACUGAGGAGCUUGAGUCCGGGAGAGGUGAGUGGAAUUCCCAGUGUAGCGGUGAAAUGCGUAGAUAUUGGGAGGAACACCAGUGGCGAAGGCGGCUCACUGGACUGGUACUGACGCUGAUGCGCGAAAGCGUGGGGAGCAAACAGG